This 2621-nucleotide ribosomal RNA is filed under the name uncultured Rhodoferax sp. RNAcentral describes it as "partial 23S ribosomal RNA". It matches the Rfam family "Bacterial large subunit ribosomal RNA". The record is from RNAcentral. Lineage: Bacteria; Pseudomonadati; Pseudomonadota; Betaproteobacteria; Burkholderiales; Comamonadaceae.
AUCCGAAUGGGGAAACCCACCUGCAAAGGUAUCGCAUACUGAAUACAUAGGUAUGCGAGGCGAACCGGGUGAACUGAAACAUCUCAGUAGCUCGAGGAAAAGACAUCAACCGAGAUUCCGAAAGUAGUGGCGAGCGAAAUCGGAGAAGCCUGCAAGUGAUAGCACAAGACAUAACGGAACGACUUGGAAAGGUCGACUAUAGAGGGUGAUAGUCCCGUACGUGAAAUGACCUGUGUGGUGCUGAGCUUGCGACAAGUAGGGCGGGACACGAGAAAUCCUGUCUGAAUAUGGGGGGACCAUCCUCCAAGGCUAAAUACUCAUCAUUGACCGAUAGUGAACUAGUACCGUGAGGGAAAGGCGAAAAGGACCCCGGGAGGGGAGUGAAAUAGAUCCUGAAACCGCAUGCUUACAAAAAGUAGGAGCCUGGAAACGGGUGACUGCGUACCUUUUGUAUAAUGGGUCAGCGACUUACAUUCAGUGGCAAGGUUAACCGAAUAGGGAAGCCGUAGAGAAAUCGAGUCCGAAUAGGGCGAAUAGUCGCUGGGUGUAGACCCGAAACCAAGUGAUCUAUCCAUGGCCAGGAUGAAGGUGCCGUAACAGGUACUGGAGGUCCGAACCGACUAGUGUUGCAAAACUAGCGGAUGAGCUGUGGAUAGGGGUGAAAGGCUAAACAAACUUGGAAAUAGCUGGUUCUCUCCGAAAACUAUUUAGGUAGUGCCUCAAGUAUUACCGUUGGGGGUAGAGCACUGUUUUGGCUAGGGGGUCAUGGCGACUUACCANACCAAUGCAAACUCCGAAUACCGACGAGUACAGCUUGGGAGACAGAGCACCGGGUGCUAACGUCCGGACUCAAGAGGGAAACAACCCAGACCGCCAGCUAAGGUCCCUAAAAUUGGCUAAGUGGGAAACGAAGUGGGAAGGCUAAAACAGUCAGGAUGUUGGCUUAGAAGCAGCCAUCAUUUAAAGAAAGCGUAAUAGCUCACUGAUCGAGUCGUCCUGCGCGGAAGAUGUAACGGGGCUAAGCCAGUUACCGAAGCUGCGGAUUUGCAAUUUAUUGCAAGUGGUAGGAGAGCGUUCUGUAAGCCUGUGAAGGUGGUGGUGUAAACCCUGCUGGAGGUAUCAGAAGUGCGAAUGCUGACAUGAGUAGCGUUAAAGGGGGUGAAAAGCCCCCUCGCCGUAAGCGCAAGGUUUUCUACGCAACGUUCAUCGGCGUAGAGUGAGUCGGCCCCUAAGGCGAGGCAGAGAUGCGUAGUUGAUGGGAAACAGGUCAAUAUUCCUGUACCGAUGUGUAGUGCGAUGUGGGGACGGAGAAGGUUAGCUCAGCCAACUGUUGGACAUGUUGGUUCAAGCCUGUAGUCGUGCCUGGUAGGUAAAUCCGCCGGGCUUAGAUGAGGGGUGAUAACGAGGGUGCUUGCACCCGAAGUGAGUGAUACCCUGCUUCCAGGAAAAGCCACUAAGCUUCAGCUACACACGACCGUACCGCAAACCGACACUGGUGCGCGAGAUGAGUAUUCUAAGGCGCUUGAGAGAACUCAGGAGAAGGAACUCGGCAAAUUGACACCGUAACUUCGGAAGAAAGUGUGCCUUUAGUAGGUGAAGGGAUUUACUCCCGGAGCCCAAUGAGGUUGCAAAAAAUCGGUGGCUGCGACUGUUUAUUAAAAACACAGCACUCUGCAAACACGAAAGUGGACGUAUAGGGUGUGACGCCUGCCCGGUGCUGGAAGAUUAAAUGAUGGGGUGCAAGCUCUUGAUUGAAGUCCCAGUAAACGGCGGCCGUAACUAUAACGGUCCUAAGGUAGCGAAAUUCCUUGUCGGGUAAGUUCCGACCUGCACGAAUGGCGUAACGAUGGCCACACUGCCUCCUCCUGAGACUCAGCGAAGUUGAAAUGUUUGUGAUGAUGCAAUCUCCCCGCGGAAAGACGGAAAGACCCCAUGAACCUUUACUGUAGCUUUGUAUUGGACUUUGAACAGAUCUGUGUAGGAUAGGUGGGAGGCUUUGAAGUAGGGUCGCUAGAUCUUAUGGAGCCAACGUUGAAAUACCACCCUGGUGUGUUUGAGGUUCUAACCUAGGUCCAUUAUCUGGAUCGGGGACAGUGCAUGGUAGGCAGUUUGACUGGGGGCGGUCUCCUCCCAAAGCGUAACGGAGGAGUUCGAAGGUACGCUAGUUACGGUCGGACAUCGUGACGAUAGUGCAAUGGCAUAAGCGUGCUUAACUGCGAGACUGACAAGUCGAGCAGUUGCGAAAGCAGGACAUAGUGAUCCGGUGGUUCUGUAUGGAAGGGCCAUCGCUCAACGGAUAAAAGGUACUCUGGGGAUAACAGGCUGAUACCGCCCAAGAGUUCAUAUCGACGGCGGUGUUUGGCACCUCGAUGUCGGCUCAUCUCAUCCUGGGGCUGUAGACGGUCCCAAGGGUAUGGCUGUUCGCCAUUUAAAGAGGUACGUGAGCUGGGUUUAAAACGUCGUGAGACAGUUUGGUCCCUAUCUUCCGUGGGCGCUGCAGAUUUGAGGAAGCCUGCUCCUAGUACGAGAGGACCGGAGUGGACACACCUCUGGUGUAUCGGUUGUCACGCCAGUGGCAUUGCCGAGUAGCUAAGUGUGGAGGAGAUAACCGCUGAAAAUCA